UUUCUAAAUUUGAACUAACAUUACAACUAACAUUGUUUUGUAUUCUUUUAUCAUAUUUUAUGUAUUUUUACAGUUUUUUUGAUCUCAAAAAGGAAACUAAAAUAAUACCUAAUUUUGUUUUAAUUUAUUUUUUAAUUUAUAAUGUGUUGUUGUCUAUCACAGUAUUACCUUUUAUUCACAGGAUGUUUGAAGAACUAAUUUACGGGUACUGCUCAUCACUAAAUACCAUUUACGAAAAUCAUUUUUUGAAUAAUGAAAAAGAAGACAAUAAAAAAUUUUCAUCUUCUUUUGAUUUUUCAUCUACCACUGAUAAUAAUAAUAAUAAUAAUUAUGUUAUAAAAAAAAAGUUUGGUUUUUUCCGAGCUUUAAAAAAUGUACUAGUGUUAAUGUUUAAGGGGUUGAGGUUAAAUAAGUACCAUUUAGACAUUUUGAGCAACUGUUCUGUGUUAUGUUUUUUGGAUAAUAGUGGAAUACUAGUUAAUAGUAUUCACAACAUUAAAGAAAUAUGUAUUUACAAUUGUUUAAAUGAAAAUAAAAAAGAUACAUUGUCUAAUAAUCAGAUUCCAAAACACUCAAAUAGUAAUUAUAGAAAUACCUUAACCAUUAUUGAUGUAUUUAUGGAUAAUAAAAGUAUGUACGCUUAUCAGAGAAUAACAAAUAUUAGAAUUUUAAAUGCUUUAUUUUUAAUAUUUAAUUAUACACAAGUACCCAAAUAUAUCAAGUUUUUUAAUGAGUUCCAAAGUAAUAUUAUAUAUUACAUGAACCAACCUGAGUACAGUCAUAUGUUUAAUUGUCUUUGUGAUAUCGGAAACGUCUCUUAUUCAAAUAAUAAGUUUUUGUUUUAUAUGCUUUUUUUUUGUGUUGAAAACAAAAGCGAUUACGAAUUAUACAAAAAAAUUUCUAGUGAACUAAAAAAAUAUAAAAAAACAAACGUACAGUUAGAUGAUAACAUACCUUAUAAUAUAGAUACAACAGCAGAAAAAGACAAUCAUAUUGGAAUAAAUAUAUAUGACACUUUAACAGUACGUGAUAAUUUUGUUUUUAUUUUUAUUCUAUAUGAAAAAAAAAAAGACAAAUAUCAUAUGUUUUUGAAGGUUGGAUAUGUUACUUUUACCAACACAUUGUUAUUGUUUCUACUAUUUUUUAUAUUUCAAUAAAUAUUAUAAAUAUUACUAUCACGAUUUUUGCAGGGACAACUAGACGCAUUAGUUACAAAAUGUAUGUUUUACUAUGAUGGACAAAUUAUAAAAAAAUUAGAAAGAAAAAAAAAAAAAUUACUAAGAAUAUUAAAUAUGCAAUGGAUAUCGUCUGGUAAGACACAUGCAUGUGUGCACAUAUAUACAUAUUUGAAAACAUAGUUGUAAAAAUAAUCAAAUUUUAUUAUUUAUUAUUUAUUAUUUAUUCAAUUAUUCAAUUAUUCAAUUAUUUUUUU
Molecule: long non-coding RNA, 1432 nt
Filed under: Piliocolobus tephrosceles (Ugandan red Colobus)
Lineage: Eukaryota; Metazoa; Chordata; Mammalia; Primates; Cercopithecidae
Description: lncRNA (ENSPTEG00000021247.1)
Source: RNAcentral